CUACGGGCGGCACCAGUGGGGAAUAUUGCACAAUGGAGGAAACUCUGAUGCAGCAACGCCGCGUGGAGGAUGACACUUUUCGGAGCGUAAACUCCUUUUAUAUAGGAAGAAGAUGACGGUACUAUAUGAAUAAGCGCCGGCUAACUCCGUGCCAGCAGCCGCGGUAAUACGGAGGGCGCAAGCGUUACUCGGAAUCACUGGGCGUAAAGAGCGUGUAGGCGGAUUAAAAAGUCAGAAGUGAAAUCCUAUAGCUUAACUAUAGAACUGCUUCUGAAACUCUUAAUCUAGAAUGUGGGAGAGGUAGAUGGAAUUUCUGGUGUAGGGGUAAAAUCCGUAGAGAUCAGAAGGAAUACCGAUUGCGAAGGCGAUCUACUAGAACAUUAUUGACGCUGAGACGCGAAAGCGUGGGGAGCAAACAGGAUUAGAUACCCCCGUAGUC
This 439-nucleotide ribosomal RNA is filed under the name uncultured bacterium. Its description in RNAcentral is "partial 16S ribosomal RNA". It matches the Rfam family "Bacterial small subunit ribosomal RNA", at positions 339 to 795 of the family's 1533-position model. The record is from RNAcentral.